RNAcentral lists this ribosomal RNA (377 nucleotides) under uncultured bacterium. RNAcentral describes it as "bacterial SSU rRNA". It matches the Rfam family "Bacterial small subunit ribosomal RNA", at positions 521 to 896 of the family's 1533-position model. The record is from RNAcentral.
UAAGACGUAGGGUGCGAGCGUUGUCCGGAUUUAUUGGGCGUAAAGAGCUCGUAGGCGGCUCGUCGCGUCGGUUGUGAAAACUCUAGGCUUAACCUGGAGCUUGCAACCGAUACGGGCGGGCUAGAGUUCGGUAGGGGAGACUGGAAUUCCUGGUGUAGCGGUGAAAUGCGCAGAUAUCAGGAGGAACACCGGUGGCGAAGGCGGGUCUCUGGGCCGAUACUGACGCUGAGGAGCGAAAGCGUGGGGAGCGAACAGGAUUAGAUACCCUGGUAGUCCACGCUGUAAACGGUGGGUGCUAGGUGUGGGGACCUCUCCAGGUCUCCGUGCCGCAGCUAACGCAUUAAGCACCCCGCCUGGGGAGUACGGCCGCAAGGCUA